This is an RNA transcript of Hippopotamus amphibius kiboko, 1009 nucleotides long. It is a transcript of the gene named peptidylprolyl isomerase H, with no coding region annotated. Lineage: Eukaryota; Metazoa; Chordata; Mammalia; Artiodactyla; Hippopotamidae. The record is from RefSeq and is a predicted model, not a curated record. The transcript is spliced from 11 exons.
CCGGGUCAGAGCCAUGGCGGUGGCAAAUUCAAGCCCUGUGAAUCCCGUGGUGUUCUUUGAUGUCAGCAUCGGUGGCCAGGAAGUUGGCCGCAUGAAGAUCGAGCUCUUUGCAGACGUUGUGCCUAAGACGGCCGAGAAUUUUAGGCAGUUCUGCACUGGAGAAUUCAGGUCAGUCUCAGACGUGGUUGAAUUCUUUGCUUGCUCCUGAGGGGUGUCCUGGGGCUGCAGUGAGGGUGUUGGGGAACCACCGACUGGCCUUGAAUGAUUGCUCUUGACAGUAAUAGAAGAAAAGAUGGGGUUCCAAUAGGAUACAAAGGGAGCACCUUCCACAGGGUCAUAAAAGAUUUCAUGAUUCAGGGUGGAGAUUUUGUUAAUGGAGAUGGUACUGGAGUCGCUAGUAUCUACCGGGGGCCAUUUGCUGAUGAAAAUUUUAAGCUUAGACACUCAGCUCCAGGCCUGCUUUCCAUGGCAAACAGUGGUCCCAGUACAAAUGGCUGCCAGUUUUUCAUCACCUGCUCUAAGUGUGAUUGGCUAGAUGGGAAGCACGUGGUGUUUGGAAAAAUCAUUGAUGGACUUCUGGUGAUGAGAAAGAUUGAGAAUGUUCCCACAGGCCCCAACAAUAAGCCCAAGCUGCCUGUGGUGAUCUCACAGUGUGGGGAAAUGUAGUUCAAAGGAAGACUCGAUCAGUUAUGAAAGCAACAUCAUCUUGUGAAAUGAGAUAUGAAAAUUUUCACACGAAACAGUAAAGCCCUUCUCCCCUUGACAACUCACCCCGCUUCUGCAUCCCCAUCCCAAUGCUGUCCUCAGAGGCCCCCCGGCUCUGCCACUGUGGGCCUCCUCUUGCUCGGGGUGAUGCUCUUGAGGGAGAUAAUCUGGACUGGCCCCUGUGUUUGCUUCCCUGCCUGCUGCUGCCCCAUUUGAUCAAGAGACCUUGGAAGUAUCACAGAUUCGGAACCCAAAAUUUUGUGUUUAAGUUUUCAAUUGUAAAUAAAGUUGUUGUUUUGUUGUU